UACGUAGGGUGCGAGCGUUUGUCCGGAAUUAUUGGGCGUAAAGGGCUCGUAGGCGGUCUGUCACGUCGGGAGUGAAAACUCAGGGCUUAACCCUGAGCCUGCUUCCGAUACGGGCAGACUAGAGGUAUGCAGGGGAGAACGGAAUUCCUGGUGUAGCGGUGAAAUGCGCAGAUAUCAGGAGGAACACCGGUGGCGAAGGCGGUUCUCUGGGCAUGUCCUGACGCUGAGGAGCGAAAGUGUGGGGAGCGAACAGG
This 254-nucleotide ribosomal RNA is filed under the name uncultured bacterium. RNAcentral's name for it is "partial 16S ribosomal RNA". It matches the Rfam family "Bacterial small subunit ribosomal RNA", at positions 524 to 776 of the family's 1533-position model. The record is from RNAcentral.